UAAAGCAGCCAUGUCACCCUGCAACUCACAACUGGCAGCCCACUGAAGCUCAGCAGGUGUGAGCCUGGUCAGUACCUGGAUGGGAGACCUCCUGGGAAAAACUAAGGUUGCUGCUGGAA
Ribosomal RNA from Lepisosteus oculatus (spotted gar), 119 nucleotides. The record is from Ensembl. NCBI's taxonomy places the organism in Eukaryota, Metazoa, Chordata, Actinopteri, Semionotiformes, Lepisosteidae.